Molecule: ribosomal RNA, 699 nt
Filed under: Mucor mucedo
Lineage: Eukaryota; Fungi; Mucoromycota; Mucoromycetes; Mucorales; Mucoraceae
Description: eukaryotic LSU rRNA
Rfam family: Eukaryotic large subunit ribosomal RNA
Source: RNAcentral
GCGGAGGAAAAGAAAAUAACAAUGAUUUCCCUAGUAACGGCGAGUGAAGAGGAAAGAGCUCAAAGUUGGAACCUGUUUGGCUUAGCCAAACCGGAUUGUAAACUGUAGAAGUGUUUUCCUGACACGCCUGGUAAAAAAGUCCUUUGGAACAGGGCAUCAUAGAGGGUGAGAAUCCCGUCUUUGGCCAGAGCUGUUGUCUUUUGCGAUACAUUUUCAAAGAGUCAGGUUGUUUGGGAAUGCAGCCUAAAUUGGGUGGUAAAUCUCACCUAAAGCUAAAUAUUUGCGAGAGACCGAUAGCGAACAAGUACCGUGAGGGAAAGAUGAAAAGAACUUUGAAAAGAGAGUUAAACAGUAUGUGAAAUUGUUAAAAGGGAACCGUUUGGAGCCAGACUGGCUUGAUCGUAAUCAAUCUAAGCUUCGGCUUGGAUGCACUUGCGGUCUUUGCCUGCCAACGACAAUUUUUUCUGGGGGAAAAAACUAAUGGAAACGUAGCCCAUCUCGGUGGGUGUUAUAGUCCGUUAGAAAAUACCCUGGAUUGGAUUGAGGAACGCAGUGAAUGCUCUUUAGGGCAAGAUUGCUGGGUGCUUUCGCUAAUACAUGCUAAAAUUUCUGCUUCGGGUGGUGUUAGUGUGUAAAGGAGGAACUCGCCUAGUAUAUUUUUUAUUCGCUUAGGUUGUUGGCUUAAUGACUCUAAAUGAC